RNAcentral lists this ribosomal RNA (481 nucleotides) under uncultured bacterium. RNAcentral describes it as "partial 16S ribosomal RNA". It matches the Rfam family "Bacterial small subunit ribosomal RNA", at positions 28 to 507 of the family's 1533-position model. The record is from RNAcentral.
GAUGAACGCUGGCGGCGUGCUUAACACAUGCAAGUCGAACGAAGCAUUUAAGACAGAUUACUUCGGUUUGAAGUCUUUUAUGACUGAGUGGCGGACGGGUGAGUAACGCGUGGGUAACCUGCCUCAUACAGGGGGAUAGCAGCUGGAAACGGCUGGUAAUACCGCAUAAGCGCACAGUACCACAUGGUACAGUGUGAAAAACUCCGGUGGUAUGAGAUGGACCCGCGUCUGAUUAGCUUGUUGGCGGGGUAACGGCCCACCAAGGCGACGAUCAGUAGCCGACCAGAGAGGGUGACCGGCCACAUUGGGACUGAGACACGGCCCAGACUCCUACGGGAGGCAGCAGUGGGGAAUAUUGCACAAUGGAGGAAACUCUGAUGCAGCGACGACGCGUGAGUGAAGAAGUAGUUCGCUAUGUAAAGCUCUAUCAGCAGGGAAGAUAGUGACGGUACCUGACGAAGAAGCGCCGGCUAAAUACGUG